AACGCUGGCGGCAGGCUUAACACAUGCAAGUCGAGCGGGGGAAGGUAGCUUGCUACCGGACCUAGCGGCGGACGGGUGAGUAAUGCUUAGGAAUCUGCCUAUUAGUGGGGGACAACAUCUCGAAAGGGAUGCUAAUACCGCAUACGUCCUACGGGAGAAAGCAGGGGAUCUUCGGACCUUGCGCUAAUAGAUGAGCCUAAGUCGGAUUAGCUAGUUGGUGGGGUAAAGGCCUACCAAGGCGACGAUCUGUAGCGGGUCUGAGAGGAUGAUCCGCCACACUGGGACUGAGACACGGCCCAGACUCCUACGGGAGGCAGCAGUGGGGAAUAUUGGACAAUGGGGGGAACCCUGAUCCAGCCAUGCCGCGUGUGUGAAGAAGGCCUUAUGGUUGUAAAGCACUUUAAGCGAGGAGGAGGCUACUUUAGUUAAUACCUAGAGAUAGUGGACGUUACUCGCAGAAUAAGCACCGGCUAACUCUGUGCCAGCAGCCG
RNAcentral lists this ribosomal RNA (491 nucleotides) under Acinetobacter baumannii OIFC109. Its description in RNAcentral is "bacterial SSU rRNA". It matches the Rfam family "Bacterial small subunit ribosomal RNA", at positions 32 to 517 of the family's 1533-position model. Lineage: Bacteria; Pseudomonadati; Pseudomonadota; Gammaproteobacteria; Moraxellales; Moraxellaceae. The record is from RNAcentral.